Molecule: long non-coding RNA, 701 nt
Filed under: Anas platyrhynchos platyrhynchos (common mallard)
Lineage: Eukaryota; Metazoa; Chordata; Aves; Anseriformes; Anatidae
Description: lncRNA (ENSAPLG00000025871.1)
Source: RNAcentral
CAGAAAACUGAUAAAAUUAGUCUUGAUGAACACUUGAUGAACAUGAGGCCCAGAAGCUCUAAGAUCUCUAGUUUACUGGGAUUUAAAAUGAAAGCAAAUGGAGUGGAGCUUGGCUACAAUUAAGCCUGUCCCUAGUUAUGAGGGACAGGUUAUGAGGAAAUGAGAGCUAAAGAGUGGUAAGUUAUGUACUAAAGAAGUAGAUUUCCAUUCAAUUAAUAUUAAUAUUUGUCAUUUCAAUUCUUUUUUUUUUCUUUUUUUUUUUUUUUCCUGAGAAAAUUUUUUUCUGUCAGAAAAGUAAUGAACAGCAACACAAAAAAUAGAGACUGUGAUUUUAACUGUGGUAUUUUUCCUUAGAGUCUUGUUAGGAUGGCCUUGUCAUGGAACGUGGUAGGACUCUGAAGUACAAGGAAAAUAGUCUAGGCAGGAAAGAAAGAAAUAGAAACCAGAUGCUAAUGAAUACAUCUAAUUACCAUAAAAUACAUCAGGAGAACACACACAGAGAGGCAGUACUGUGAUUCACAUGUCAUCAACAUAAAUCUAAGGAGAAUUUAUUUUGUGAAAUCUUUACCAUGAGUGAUGUUGGAAACAGAAAGCAGAAUCCUCACUUACAAAUUUCAAGUUGAAUACGCAGCCUCACUUACAAAUUUCAAGUUGAAUAUGCAGGACUGGCAGAUGGAAUAAACUUUUUAAUUUCUGAAACA